UUUUAAAUAAGUAAGAGUUUUU
Molecule: ribosomal RNA, 22 nt
Filed under: Mycoplasma sp. VJC358
Lineage: Bacteria; Bacillati; Mycoplasmatota; Mollicutes; Mycoplasmatales; Mycoplasmataceae
Description: partial 23S ribosomal RNA
Source: RNAcentral